This 303-nucleotide ribosomal RNA is filed under the name Triticum aestivum (bread wheat). RNAcentral describes it as "partial small subunit ribosomal RNA". The record is from RNAcentral. Lineage: Eukaryota; Viridiplantae; Streptophyta; Magnoliopsida; Poales; Poaceae.
AUGGAGACCUGUAGCUCAGGAGCAUGUGACACAAGCUCUAGCACAGUGGAAUGGGCAAUGGUUGAGCUUCUUCGAAACCCAUCAUCAAUGGCCAAGCUCCUUCCAUUUGGUGCGGGGCGUCGAAUCUUCCCUGGAAUGGCUUUGGCAAUUAGGAUGGUGCAUAUGAUGCUUGCUUCCAUGUUAAACCAGUCUAGGUGGAGUCUUCCCGUUGAGCUGAAACGGGAUGGGAUUGAUGUGGAAGAUCAGUUUGGACUCACACUAGUGAAGGUGGUGCCCCUUUGUGCUAUGGCAACACCGAUUUGA